UACGUAGGGGGCAAGCGUUGUCCGGAUUUAUUGGGCGUAAACGCGCGUAGGCGGCGCGGUAUGGCGUGCGUGAAAUCUCCCGGCUUAACUGGGAGGGGCCGUGCGAAACUGCCGGGCUUGAGGUCAGAAGGGGAAAGUGGAAUUCCGGGUGUAGUGGUGGAAUACGUAGAUAUCCGGAGGAACACCAGCGGCGAAGGCGGCUUUCUGGUCUGAUACUGACGCUGAGGCGCGAAAGCGUGGGGAGCGAUCCGG
This 252-nucleotide ribosomal RNA is filed under the name uncultured bacterium. RNAcentral describes it as "partial 16S ribosomal RNA". It matches the Rfam family "Bacterial small subunit ribosomal RNA", at positions 524 to 776 of the family's 1533-position model. The record is from RNAcentral.